This 27-nucleotide non-coding RNA is filed under the name Mus musculus (house mouse). The record is from RNAcentral. Lineage: Eukaryota; Metazoa; Chordata; Mammalia; Rodentia; Muridae.
UCUCAAUAUCUUAUCCAGGUGGACAUC